CUGGCGGCGCGCCUAACACAUGCAAGUCGAACGAGAAAGUGGGGAAACCCAUGAGUACAGUGGCGUACGGGUGAGUAACACGUGGAUGACCUACCUUCUGGUGAGGAAUAACCCUGGGAAACCGGGGCUAAUACCGCAUAAGCUCGAGAGAGGAAAGUCGCAAGACGCCGGAAGAGGAGUCCGCGGCCGAUUAGCUAGUUGGCAGGGUAAAAGCCUACCAAGGCAAAGAUCGGUAGCCGGCCUGAGAGGGCACACGGCCACACUGGCACUGAAACACGGGCCAGACUCCUACGGGAGGCAGCAGUGGGGAAUCUUGCACAAUGGGGGAAACCCUGAUGCAGCGACGCCGCGUGAGCGAUGAAGCCCUUCGGGGUGUAAAGCUCUUUCGGCAGGGACGAUAAUGACGGUACCUGCAGAAGCAGCUGCGGCUAACUACGUGCCAGCAGCCGCGGUAAUACGUAGGCAGCAAGCGUGGUUCGGAGUUACUGGGCGUAAAGGGUGUGUANGCGGUUGCUUAAGUUUGGUGUGAAAUCUCCCGGCUC
This 542-nucleotide ribosomal RNA is filed under the name uncultured bacterium. RNAcentral describes it as "bacterial SSU rRNA". It matches the Rfam family "Bacterial small subunit ribosomal RNA", at positions 36 to 610 of the family's 1533-position model. The record is from RNAcentral.